This 429-nucleotide ribosomal RNA is filed under the name Novosphingobium sp. Its description in RNAcentral is "bacterial SSU rRNA". It matches the Rfam family "Bacterial small subunit ribosomal RNA", at positions 429 to 875 of the family's 1533-position model. Lineage: Bacteria; Pseudomonadati; Pseudomonadota; Alphaproteobacteria; Sphingomonadales; Sphingomonadaceae. The record is from RNAcentral.
AGCUCUUUUACCAGGGAUGAUAAUGACAGUACCUGGAGAAUAAGCUCCGGCUAACUCCGUGCCAGCAGCCGCGGUAAUACGGAGGGAGCUAGCGUUGUUCGGAAUUACUGGGCGUAAAGCGUACGUAGGCGGUUAUUCAAGUCAGAGGUGAAAGCCCGGGGCUCAACCCCGGAACGGCCUUUGAAACUAGAUAGCUAGAGUCUUGGAGAGGUCAGUGGAAUUCCGAGUGUAGAGGUGAAAUUCGUAGAUAUUCGGAAGAACACCAGUGGCGAAGGCGACUGACUGGACAAGUACUGACGCUGAGGUACGAAAGCGUGGGGAGCAAACAGGAUUAGAUACCCUGGUAGUCCACGCCGUAAACGAUGAUAACUAGCUGUCCGGGUACUUGGUAUCUGGGUGGCGCAGCUAACGCAUUAAGUUAUCCGCCUG